UACGUAGGGUGCAAGCGUUAUCCGGAAUUAUUGGGCGUAAAGAGCUCGUAGGCGGUUUGUCGCGUCUGCUGUGAAAACCGGAGGCUCAACCUCCGGCCUGCAGUGGGUACGGGCAAACUAGAGUGCGGUAGGGGAGAUUGGAAUUCCUGGUGUAGCGGUGGAAUGCGCAGAUAUCAGGAGGACUACCCAUAGCGAAGGCAGCUCGCUGGGACGGUACUGACGCUGAGGCGCGAAAGCGUGGGGAGCGAACAGG
RNAcentral lists this ribosomal RNA (253 nucleotides) under uncultured bacterium. Its description in RNAcentral is "partial 16S ribosomal RNA". It matches the Rfam family "Bacterial small subunit ribosomal RNA", at positions 524 to 776 of the family's 1533-position model. The record is from RNAcentral.